This 524-nucleotide ribosomal RNA is filed under the name uncultured bacterium. Its description in RNAcentral is "partial 16S ribosomal RNA". It matches the Rfam family "Bacterial small subunit ribosomal RNA", at positions 28 to 523 of the family's 1533-position model. The record is from RNAcentral.
GACGAACGCUGGCGGCGUGCCUAAUACAUGCAAGUCGAGCGCAGGAAGCUGACGGAACUCUUCGGAGGGAAGGCAGUGGAAUGAGCGGCGGACGGGUGAGUAACACGUAAGGAACCUGCCUCAAGGAUUGGGAUAACUCCGAGAAAUCGGAGCUAAUACCGGAUAGUUCAACGGACCGCAUGGUCCGCUGAUGAAAGGCGCUUCGGCGUCACCUUGAGAUGGCCUUGCGGUGCAUUAGCUAGUUGGUGGGGUAACGGCCUACCAAGGCGACGAUGCAUAGCCGACCUGAGAGGGGGAUCGGCCACACUGGGACUGAGACACGGCCCAGACUCCUACGGGAGGCAGCAGUAGGGAAUCUUCCACAAUGGACGAAAGUCUGAUGGAGCAACGCCGCGUGAGUGAUGAAGGUUUUCGGAUCGUAAAACUCUGUUGUAAGGGAAGAACACGUACGAGAGGGAAUGCUCGUACCUUGACGGUACCUUACGAGAAAGCCACGGCUAACUACGUGCCAGCCGCCGCCGUAA